GGUAAAGUGACUGAUUUUAGGUGAUAAAUUGUAAAUUUAUUUAUGGUUAAUUCCCUUUACUA
This 62-nucleotide transfer RNA is filed under the name Quadristernoseta cf. longigynium XFX-2019. RNAcentral's name for it is "tRNA-Tyr". Lineage: Eukaryota; Metazoa; Arthropoda; Arachnida; Mesostigmata; Diplogyniidae. The record is from RNAcentral.